AUCCAGACUCCACGGGAGGCAGCAGUGGGGAAUAUUGGGCAAUGGGCGCAAGCCUGACCCAGCAACGCCGCGUGAAGGAAGAAGGCUUUCGGGUUGUAAACUUCUUUUAAGAGGGAAGAGCAGAAGACGGUACCUCUUGAAUAAGCCACGGCUAACUACGUGCCAGCAGCCGCGGUAAUACGUAGGGGGCAAGCGUUAUCCGGAUUUACUGGGUGUAAAGGGGGCGCAGACGGCGAUGCAAGCCAGGAGUGAAAGCCCGGGGCCCAACCCCGGGACUGCUCUGGAAACUGCGGCGCUGGAGUACGGGAGGGGCAGGCGGAAUUCCUGGUGUAGCGGUGAAAUGCGUAGAUAUCAGGAGGAACACCGGCGGCGAAGGCGGCCUGCUGGACCGUGACUGACGUUGAGGCUCGAGAGCGUGGGGAGCAAACAGGAUUAGAUACCCCCGUA
RNAcentral lists this ribosomal RNA (447 nucleotides) under uncultured bacterium. Its description in RNAcentral is "partial 16S ribosomal RNA". It matches the Rfam family "Bacterial small subunit ribosomal RNA", at positions 329 to 792 of the family's 1533-position model. The record is from RNAcentral.